RNAcentral lists this long non-coding RNA (240 nucleotides) under Elaeis guineensis (African oil palm). RNAcentral's name for it is "long non-coding RNA (EGUI_LNC013157)". Lineage: Eukaryota; Viridiplantae; Streptophyta; Magnoliopsida; Arecales; Arecaceae. The record is from RNAcentral.
CCCAAUAUUAUUAGAUGGUACACUUCUUUUGCACCCCAUACGCGGUGCAUAAAGAAUUACUCUCGGAGAGAUCUAAAAAUUGACAAAAGUUAAGGUCCGGCACACUAGCUUUAGGAUGGGCUAGGCUUACAUGCAAGGUUUAAAUCUUAGGCUUCAUUUUGCCCUAGGCCCAACACAGACUGACCCAAGUCCACAGCCUUUUAUAUUGUAUGCACUAAUGCAUUGUAUUUACACAUAUAC